CCUGUACCUUGAUUGGGCUGCCUGCUCUUCUUACAGAAGGGCAAAACCGUGGGGCUUACAGGACUUUACCUCAAGGCACACCAGGAGAACCCACCGGUUUUAGAGCAGAAUGCUCAGUUUGUAAAAAGGCUGUCCACAAACUUCCUUUGUCUGUGGUUCUGGGAACUUUAGGUCUGAUGGAACCAGAGGCAAGUGAGUCAGGUAAGCAGCAGGGGAACUGUGGCUGGUGAAGGGGGACCUGGUGUGACAGCAGCUACAAAUCCAGCUGAACGCUCCAUGCAGCAAAGCGGUGGCCUCAGGGAUGCAGGCACAGAAAACAGGAGUCUGAGAUCUUCUCCCACCUGCCCAUGUGGGUGACAGCUGAGGGACCUGGACAAACGUGAGACCACAUCAUGGAGGGCCCUGGAGCCUCCCAGCUGAGCCCUCCCGAGUCCUCCACUGCUUGCCAUGGUUCAUCUACUGACUACUGAGCUAUUGAUGCACUUCAGGGGUCAGUGGAGCCCAGCAACCCUGCUGCUAACAGGGCGAAGCAAGCCCAAUUUCAUGCCUACGUGGGCUUCCCUCUAAGAAGGCAAGGAGAGAGAGUAAACCUGCGCAUUAAAAUUUCUUUGGAAAACAGAAACCUCUGGAAGUAGGGGCCUUAAACAGAAUUGCUGGGUAGCAGCAGAGGGGGCAGCUGGUUCACAUGAGAUGAAUCAGAGCUUCGAGGAAGAAGGAAGUUGGUGAAGGAGGCUGAUGGUACCGUGUGGUGGUUGCCUGUUUAUCUCUCUUGGGAUGUUUGCACACAGAUGAAUGUCUGAGAGAACCACCAACCUCACUACUGUUGUUGACUGACUGGACAAACUUGGAAAGGCAAAUAUUUACUGCGUUGGCCAUUUGUUUCUGAUGUAUUUCAAACAGCAAUCAGUGGGCGGAGGAAUUUGAGCUUAAAUGAAGGUAAGAAAAGCACAUGGGAAAACCAAGACACAGGAAUAUCAAGUUCAAAGGCUGACAUUGGGGGAGCUGCAGAGACAGCUUAGCAUUAGCUGAGCCUCUUGCAGAGGACCUGGGUUCAGUUCCCAGCAACCACAGGACAGC
This is a long non-coding RNA of Mesocricetus auratus (golden hamster), 1077 nucleotides long. RefSeq lists it as uncharacterized. The transcript has 3 exons. Lineage: Eukaryota; Metazoa; Chordata; Mammalia; Rodentia; Cricetidae. The record is from RefSeq and is a predicted model, not a curated record.